UGUCUAAGUAUAAAUAACUUUAUAUUGUGAAACUGCGAAUGGCUCAUUAAAUCAGUUAUGAUCUACGUGACAAAUUCUUUACUACUUGGAUAACCGUGGUAAUUCUAGAGCUAAUACAUGCAAAAAAGCCCUGACUUACGAAGGGGUGCACUUAUUAGAUAAAACCAACGCGGGGUAAAACCUGUUUCUUGGUGAAUCAUAAUAAUUAAGCGGAUCGCAUGGCCUUGUGCCGGCGACGGUCCACUCGAUUUUCUGCCCUAUCAUGGUUGAGAUUGUAAGAUAGAGGCUUACAAUGCCUACAACGGGUAACGGGGAAUUAGGGUUCGAUUCCGGAGAGGGAGCCUGAGAAACGGCUACCACAUCCAAGGAAGGCAGCAGGCGCGCAAAUUACCCAAUCCCGACACGGGGAGGUAGUGACAAUACAUAACAAUGCAGGGCCUUUAAGGUCUUGCAAUUGGAAUGAGUACAAUUUAAAUCCCUUAACGAGGAUCAAUUGGAGGGCAAGUCUGGUGCCAGCAGCCGCGGUAAUUCCAGCUCCAAUAGCGUAUAUUAAAGUUGUUGCAGUUAAAACGUCCGUAGUCAAACUUUAGUCUUACCGGCGUAGUGGCCUGGUCUUCAUUGACCAAGCUCAUUGCUGCCGGAGACUCCAUGUCCAUUGACUCCUAGUCCUCGUGGCUAGGGUUUUCUGGACAAUUACCAUGAGCAAAUCAGAGUGUUUAAAG
RNAcentral lists this ribosomal RNA (722 nucleotides) under Rhizopus arrhizus. RNAcentral's name for it is "SSU rRNA". It matches the Rfam family "Eukaryotic small subunit ribosomal RNA", at positions 56 to 780 of the family's 1831-position model. Lineage: Eukaryota; Fungi; Mucoromycota; Mucoromycetes; Mucorales; Rhizopodaceae. The record is from RNAcentral.